UCGUCAGCUCGUGUCGUGAGAUGUUGGGUUAAGUCCCGCAACGAGCGCAACCCUUGCCUUUAGUUGCCAGCAUUAAGUUGGGCACUCUAGAGGGACUGCCAGGGAUAACCUGGAGGAAGGUGGGGAUGACGUCAAAUCAUCAUGCCCCUUAUGCUUAGGGCUACACACGUGCUACAAUGGGUGGUACAGAGGGCAGCCAAGUCGUGAGGCGGAGCUAAUCCCUUAAAGCCAUUCUCAGUUCGGAUUGUAGGCUGAAACUCGCCUACAUGAAGCUGGAGUUACUAGUAAUCGCAGAUCAGAAUGCUGCGGUGAAUGCGUUCCCGGGUCUUGUACACACCGCCCGUCACACCACGGAAGUUGGGGGCGCCCGAAGCCGGAUUGCUAACCUUUUGGAAGCGUCCGUCGAAGGUGAAAUCAAUAACUGGGGUGAAGUCGUAACAAGGUAACCGUA
RNAcentral lists this ribosomal RNA (451 nucleotides) under uncultured bacterium. RNAcentral's name for it is "bacterial SSU rRNA". It matches the Rfam family "Bacterial small subunit ribosomal RNA", at positions 1052 to 1504 of the family's 1533-position model. The record is from RNAcentral.